UGGGGAAUAUUGCACAAUGGGCGCAAGCCUGAUGCAGCAACGCCGCGUGAACGAAGAAGGUCUUCGGAUUGUAAAGUUCUGUCCUUAGGGAAGAAGGAAGUGACGGUACCUAAGGAGGAAGCCCCGGCUAACUACGUGCCAGCAGCCGCGGUAAUACGUAGGGGGCAAGCGUUAUCCGGAAUGAUUGGGCGUAGAGAGUACGUAGGUGGUUUCGUAAGCGCAGGGUGAAAGGCAGUGGCUUAACCAUUGUAAGCCUUGCGAACUGCGAGACUUGAGUGCAGGAGAGGAAAAGCGGAAUUCCUAGUGUAGCGGUGAAAUGCUUAGAUAUUAGGAGGAACACCAGUGGCGAAGGCGGCUUUCUGGACUGUAACUGACACUGAGGUACGAAAGCGUGGGGAGCAAACAGGAUUAGAUACCC
Molecule: ribosomal RNA, 418 nt
Filed under: uncultured bacterium
Lineage: Bacteria
Description: bacterial SSU rRNA
Rfam family: Bacterial small subunit ribosomal RNA
Source: RNAcentral